Long non-coding RNA from Phacochoerus africanus (Common warthog), 1191 nucleotides. RefSeq lists it as uncharacterized. The transcript is spliced from 4 exons. NCBI's taxonomy places the organism in Eukaryota, Metazoa, Chordata, Mammalia, Artiodactyla, Suidae. The record is from RefSeq and is a predicted model, not a curated record.
GUGAGGGCAGGAGCCUGGAGGGAGCCUGCUCUGGGGCUGCGCUGGGCGCUGCUGCUAUUGGUCUGGAUGUGGCGUCCGUGGGCUGAGCUUAGCCCCUCCCCUGCCUUGCAAGCCCAGCUUGGUAUCCGGAGCGGGGAUUCCGGGAUUCCGGAGCAGGGGCGCGGGGUCAGCUCCCCCUCCAGUGGGGGCUGGGUGAGCCACAGGCCUCUCCGAGCCAGGGCUGAGGGCUAAUGGCACACUCUAGCUCUCCUGGCAGUUCCCCAGAAGCAGUGUUCUGCAGAAGCUGCAGGUGUCUGCGCCGGGAUAACCCCGCCAUGAGAGGCCCGGCCAGCCCAGCUCCCCGCGGGCCACAAAGCCAGGAUCCGCACAGAGGCUAAGCAGGUCGCCUGGGCCGUCUGGGUGGGAGCCAGCGAGCAGACGCGUUGGCUGUGAGACCCGCGACACAGCACCAGGCAGCUGCCCUUCGAAGUCUGGCGCACUCUGUCGCCCAGUCGCCGGUGAGGGCUGGCUCUUCUGCUCUCCCUGCUUGCUCUCGGUCCAUCAAGGGUGCGCACAGCUCACCAGCUCGCUCGGCCCAGAAGCGGGAAGUCUACCUGCUGCCAGCCGGCUUCCCAAGCCUCCGGGGCUCCACCUGCAGCCCUCAGGCGAGCUCCAUCCUCUCGUGCCCAGCGGCGCUAGGUCACCACGCUAUCGCCUCUCUCACCAGCUGCGCACCGUCUAGGCGGGCCGCCUGCCACCAGGGGCGCCAAUCACCUUCCCGCUGCGCUCGGAACCGCCAAGCAAUCCCUUGGAGAGAUAAUUAGCCCUGAAGCUGGGAAACUUGCCUUCUAGAACAUUCUCCCCACUGAUGAGAGAACUGAUCCUGGGCAAGUCCAUCCUCCUUCCAUGACCUCAGAGUCCAAGUCCCUUCCAACUCUAAAAUACAGUGACUUGUGAAUGAAAUAGUCAUUUUCUGGGAAACCAAAAUGCUUUUGGGGACAACAGCUAGACAACUAAAGAAAUUAGACUGAGGUUUUGAGGGGCAGGGAGAAGCAGGAGGAGUGAAAAAUGCCAGAGAGCCAAUCCAAACAACAGAAAAGGUGAGGUGUUCUUUCUCCAUGGCUGUUACCCAUGUCAGCUUCUAUCCCAGAUUCUGUCCCAGUGGCCCCCAGGCUAGGGGUCUAACUGGAGCUACAGCUCAGAUCCCAUGUU